This 442-nucleotide ribosomal RNA is filed under the name uncultured bacterium. RNAcentral describes it as "partial 16S ribosomal RNA". It matches the Rfam family "Bacterial small subunit ribosomal RNA", at positions 338 to 795 of the family's 1533-position model. The record is from RNAcentral.
CCUACGGGAGGCAGCAGUAGGGAAUCUUUCACAAUGGGCGAAAGCCUGAUGGAGCAACGCCGCGUGCAGGAUGAAGGCCUUCGGGUUGUAAACUGCUUUUAUAAGCGAGAAAUAUGAUGGUAACUUAUGAAUAAGGAUCGGCUAACUACGUGCCAGCAGCCGCGGUCAUACGUAGGAUCCGAGCAUUAUCCGGAGUGACUGGGUGUAAAGAGUUGCGUAGGUGGCAUAAUAAGUAGCUAGUGAAAUCUGGUGGCUCAACCAUUCAGACUAUUAGCUAAACUGUUAAGCUCGAGACCGUUAGGGGUAACUGGAAUUUCUAGUGUAGGAGUGAAAUCCGUAGAUAUUAGAAGGAACACCAAUAGCGUAGGCAGGUUGCUGGGACGGUUCUGACACUAAGGCACGAAAGCGUGGGGAGCAAACGGGAUUAGAUACCCCAGUAGUC